AUUGAACGCUGGCGGCAGGCUUAACACAUGCAAGUCGAACGAUGAUACCUAGCUUGCUAGGUUGAUUAGUGGCGAACGGGUGAGUAACAUUUAGGAAUCUACCUUUUAGUGGGGGAUAGCUCGGGGAAACUCGAAUUAAUACCGCAUACGACCUACGGGUGAAAGGGGGCGCGAGCUCUUGCUAGGAGAUGAGCCUAAAUCUGAUUAGCUAGUUGGUGGGGUAAAGGCUUACCAAGGCGACGAUCUGUAACUGGUCUGAGAGGAUGAUCAGUCACACCGGAACUGAGACACGGUCCGGACUCCUACGGGAGGCAGCAGUGGGGAAUAUUGGACAAUGGGGGGAACCCUGAUCCAGCCAUGCCGCGUGGUGUGAAGAAGGCCUUUUGGUUGUAAAGCACUUUAAGCAGGGAGGGGAGGCUAAUGGUUAAUACCCAUUAGACGAGACGUUACCUGCAGAAUAAGCACCGGCUAACUCUGUGCCAGCGGCCGCGGUAAUACAGAGGGUGCGAGCGUUAAUCGGAAUUACUGGGCGUAAAGCCGAGUGUAGGUGGCUCAUUAAGUCACAUGUGAAAUCCCCGGGCUCAACCUGGGAACUGCAUGGUGAUACUGGUGGUGCUAGAAUAUUGUGAGAGGGAAGUAGAAUUCCCAGGU
This 651-nucleotide ribosomal RNA is filed under the name uncultured Moraxellaceae bacterium. RNAcentral describes it as "bacterial SSU rRNA". It matches the Rfam family "Bacterial small subunit ribosomal RNA", at positions 28 to 675 of the family's 1533-position model. The record is from RNAcentral. Lineage: Bacteria; Pseudomonadati; Pseudomonadota; Gammaproteobacteria; Moraxellales; Moraxellaceae.